UAUCUUCUUCAUCUUCUUCUUC
This 22-nucleotide small RNA is filed under the name Arabidopsis thaliana (thale cress). Its description in RNAcentral is "ATSL256350". Lineage: Eukaryota; Viridiplantae; Streptophyta; Magnoliopsida; Brassicales; Brassicaceae. The record is from RNAcentral.